This 253-nucleotide ribosomal RNA is filed under the name uncultured bacterium. Its description in RNAcentral is "partial 16S ribosomal RNA". It matches the Rfam family "Bacterial small subunit ribosomal RNA", at positions 524 to 776 of the family's 1533-position model. The record is from RNAcentral.
UACGUAGGAUGCAAGCGUUGUCCGGAAUUAUUGGGCGUAAAGAGCGCGCAGGCGGUAUGACAAGUCAGAUGUGAAAGAGGCCGACUUAACCGGCAAGGGUCAUUUGAAACUGUCAGACUAGAGUGCAGCAGAGGAUAGUGGAAUUCCCGGUGUAGUGGUGAAAUGCGUAGAUAUCGGGAGGAACACCAGUGGCGAAGGCGACUAUCUGGGCUGCAACUGACGCUGAGGCGCGAAGGCUAGGGUAGCAAACAGG